RNAcentral lists this ribosomal RNA (132 nucleotides) under Sinocyclocheilus rhinocerous. Lineage: Eukaryota; Metazoa; Chordata; Actinopteri; Cypriniformes; Cyprinidae. The record is from RNAcentral.
GUUUAAGAGAAACUGUAUUAAAAAAAUGUAAAACAAAAAAAAAGUCUGCGCCUAAUCUCGGAAGCUAAGCAGUGUCGGGCCUGGUUAGUACUUGGAUGGGAGACCGCCUGGGAAUACCAGGUGCUGUAAGCU